AUUGAACGCUGGCGGCAUGCUUUACACAUGCAAGUCGAACGGUAACAGGGUGCUUGCACCGCUGACGAGUGGCGAACGGGUGAGUAAUGCGUCGGAACGUGCCGGGUAGUGGGGGAUAACGCAGCGAAAGUUGUGCUAAUACCGCAUACGUAUUGAGGUAGAAAGUGGGGGACCUUCGGGCCUCACGCUAUUCGAGCGGCCGACGUCUGAUUAGCUAGUAGGUGAGGUAAAGGCUCACCUAGGCGACGAUCAGUAGCGGGUCUGAGAGGAUGAUCCGCCACACUGUGACUACGACACGGCCCAGACGCCUACGGGAGGAAGCAGUGGGGAAUUUUGGACAAUGGGCGAAAGGCUGAUCCAGCCAUGCCGCGUGUCUGAAGAAGGCCUUCGGGUUGUAAAGGACUUUUGUCAGGGAGGAAAUCCCUAGUGCUAAUAACACUGGGGGAUGACAGUACCUGAAGAAUAAGCACCGGCUAACUACGUGCCAGCCGCCGCCGUAA
This 500-nucleotide ribosomal RNA is filed under the name uncultured bacterium. RNAcentral describes it as "partial 16S ribosomal RNA". It matches the Rfam family "Bacterial small subunit ribosomal RNA", at positions 30 to 523 of the family's 1533-position model. The record is from RNAcentral.